Molecule: non-coding RNA, 117 nt
Filed under: Pan paniscus (pygmy chimpanzee)
Lineage: Eukaryota; Metazoa; Chordata; Mammalia; Primates; Hominidae
Also listed under: 1 other name
Source: Rfam by way of RNAcentral
GCCGGGCAUGGUGGCUCAUGCCUGUAAUCCUAGCACUUUGGGAGGCCGAGGUGGGCGGGUCACUUGAGGUCAGGAGUUUGAAACCAGCCUGACCAACAUGGUGAAACCCCGCCUCUA